This is a long non-coding RNA of Microplitis mediator, 1549 nucleotides long. RefSeq lists it as uncharacterized. Lineage: Eukaryota; Metazoa; Arthropoda; Insecta; Hymenoptera; Braconidae. The transcript has 5 exons. The record is from RefSeq and is a predicted model, not a curated record.
UUUGUAGAUAAUUAAGAUCAUUUGCUAUUAAUUUUCUCAUUGUUAAUAACAGAGUAAAAUAUACUAUCUGAUUUAUGGUCCCUAUUAUUCAUACAAAUAGAAUAUUCAAUGAAGUAAUAUCGUUUUCUACAUUAUUUUGAUGACAGAUGGAUUUGUCUAAUACCACCGUCAAGUUAUUAACGAAGUCUUUUACUUCGACUUGUACUUGAUAUUUCAUUCUACUUAUCAAUAAAGUGAAUUAAAUAUCUUAUAAGUGAAACGCUGUAGAUGUGUACUACUCUAUAAAUAUCCAAGAUUUGUCAACUUGACCGCAUUUUGACCUCAGGAUGUUCGGUCUUUUAUCAUAUCGACUGACGAAUUCUGAUCGUUAAUGAAUACUUGAGAAAGGGUAAUUUAGAAACGAAGUUUUAUCAUACGACAGUAACAACACCAUACAAAAAUGUUUGUCGCUGGAAGUCUCAAGUUGGGAGACAAUGUUUGCUGGAAUAUUUUACAAUCUGAGUCUUCUGUAGUCUCCAAAUAAGAGACUCUGGGAGUCUCAAAGAGAUCAUCCGAAACACAAGUGACUGUUGACCUCUUAGGUGGAGAUAGAAAGACUUAGGAAGAUUCAGAAAAACUCUGAGAGCCUUCCAAAGAAUCUCAAAGACCUCGAGAGACUUGAAUUUUUCGUCUCGGAUCGAGGAUGCCGAUAUAUUUGAAAAUGAAAUAAAAAUAAUAAUAUCGACCUUGAAAGGUAUGGAAUCAGUGUUGAAGGAUACCAAACUUAGGGGACGAUGUUAUCAUUCUCAGCUUAAAGAUCCUACGCUAUUAGUAAUCGAAGACUUGGCGCCAUUAGGUUUUCGUAUGACCGAUUACCAAGUUGGCUUUGAGCUUCCAUCACUGCACUCUGGCGUUACAGAGAUUAGCUAAAUUUCACGCAAGUUCCAUGGACGUUGCUAAAUUUUUUACGGACGCAAUGAAUUCUAUGAUAAAAACAGCUGAAACGUGGUCAGAGUUGAGGGUAGAAUGCAGAGAAAAAAUAAAAAAAUUGUCGAAUACUGUUUUUCCUAAAGCAUGUGAAAUAGCUAAACUCAAGGAAUCGGAAUGCAAUGUACCAAACCAUGGAGAUGACUGGGUCAAUACUAUGUUGUUCAAAUAUAACGACAGAGGGACUGUUGUGAAUUAUGUUUUCGUUGAUUUUAAAAUGUGUUAUGACGGAACUCCUGUAAUAGACCUUCAGUAUUUCUUCAAUACAAAUGAUUCUGAAGAAGUGUUGGCACUGGACUUCAUAAAAAUUUACUGAUUGAAUAAUAUGUAAAAAUUCUUUCUACGACAAUGAAAAACAUUGGAUACAAAACUUGCCCGCCGAGUCUGAGUUACAUAAAAAAAUAUAUAUUGAAAACAAAACUAUUGGUUUCGUAGUAGCUUGCACAGCUCUUCUAAUCAUGAUGACUGAUAAGAGUCAAGCAAAAGGCCUUGAAGAAUUGAUGAGUAUGGGUAAUGCUGAUUUUUAUGCAGAUGCUUACAAAAACGAAUCUUUUAAAAUAAAAAUAGUAUCAAAAAAUUAUUA